UAAUUCACCUACUUAUAAUAUAACUAAUUAAAAUUAAAUAAGUAAUAGCUACAUACUAUACUAUUAUUUAUAUCUGGUUAGAAAUUACAAUUACUCAUCACAUUUUGGAUAAGCAUAAUGUUAUUUUCUUUCCUAAGGAAUUAUUAUUAUUUGAGACCUAAACUAUCAACUUAAAUUAUCAUAAAUUACUAAUUUUUCACCAAGUAACAAUAUUCUAAUCCUACACCUAUUAAGAUAUAAUGUUAAAAUUAGUAAAUUAAAAAUAUUCUACCUUAAAACUCGACCCUCUUUAAGAAGCCAGUUUAGCAAAAACAUAGCCUAUAAACCCCUUUAGGUAUAACCCUGCCCUCUGAAUUUUAACAGCCGCGGUAUCCUAACCGUGCUAAGGUAGCAUAAUCACUUGCCUAUUAAUUAUAGGCUAGCAUGAAUGGGAUCACUGUCUUAAAAUUAUUUUCAUUAUAAUUUAAAUUAGAUUUUAAGUUAAAAUACUAAAUUCAAAAGAAAGACAAAAAGACCCUGAAAACUAUUAACAAAUUAGUUGGGGCAACUAUAGACUACAGUAGCGUCUAUUAACUAUAAAUAAUUAAAAUACAUAGUUCUCAGUUACUUCAGGGAUAACAGACUAAUUUUAUUAUUUAGAUCUUAUAAAUAAUAAAGAUUGGCACCUCGAUGUUGGCUUAUAUUUCCUUCCUAUAGUAACAUAUAAUGAUGGCAGCUUGUUCAUCUGUUAACAUUUACAUGAGUAGUUC
RNAcentral lists this ribosomal RNA (749 nucleotides) under Stygocapitella sp. 320_05. Its description in RNAcentral is "partial large subunit ribosomal RNA". Lineage: Eukaryota; Metazoa; Annelida; Polychaeta; Parergodrilidae. The record is from RNAcentral.